Molecule: ribosomal RNA, 465 nt
Filed under: Vreelandella stevensii
Lineage: Bacteria; Pseudomonadati; Pseudomonadota; Gammaproteobacteria; Oceanospirillales; Halomonadaceae
Description: partial 16S ribosomal RNA
Rfam family: Bacterial small subunit ribosomal RNA
Source: RNAcentral
CCUACGGGGCGCAGCAGUGGGGAAUAUUGGACAAUGGGCGAAAGCCUGAUCCAGCCAUGCCGCGUGUGUGAAGAAGGCCUUCGGGUUGUAAAGCACUUUCAGUGGGGAAGAAAGCCUUGGGGCUAAUACCCUCGAGGAAGGACAUCACCCACAGAAGAAGCACCGGCUAACUCCGUGCCAGCAGCCGCGGUAAUACGGAGGGUGCGAGCGUUAAUCGGAAUUACUGGGCGUAAAGCGCGCGUAGGCGGUCUGAUAAGCCGGUUGUGAAAGCCCCGGGCUCAACCUGGGAACGGCAUCCGGAACUGUCAGGCUAGAGUGCAGGAGAGGAAGGUAGAAUUCCCGGUGUAGCGGUGAAAUGCGUAGAGAUCGGGAGGAAUACCAGUGGCGAAGGCGGCCUUCUGGACUGACACUGACGCUGAGGUGCGAAAGCGUGGGUAGCAAACAGGAUUAGAUACCCUAGUAGUU